This is a non-coding RNA of Pelobates cultripes (western spadefoot toad), 225 nucleotides long. The record is from the annotation of a GenBank genome assembly. NCBI's taxonomy places the organism in Eukaryota, Metazoa, Chordata, Amphibia, Anura, Pelobatidae.
AGCUCUUCGGGCAGAUUAAUGUUCGUGGAUUUCUUAUGCUUACCUGCACAGGUACCUGCUAUAUUAAGUAAUAAGACCCGGUACUUUGAUUCAUGUACCCACCGGCAAUGCAGAAUAUACUGCACUGAUUGCUCUGGUUCAUAUAGGAUAUUCUAUCUACCUAGUCCACUGGCAAUCCUCUGUGAGUAAUUACUCUAUAGUGGACAACAAACAGCAACACACUUU